RNAcentral lists this small RNA (373 nucleotides) under Histoplasma capsulatum var. duboisii H88. Its description in RNAcentral is "Histoplasma capsulatum H88 hypothetical RNA". The record is from RNAcentral. Lineage: Eukaryota; Fungi; Ascomycota; Eurotiomycetes; Onygenales; Ajellomycetaceae.
GUGGGGCAGCCUCUGGAGCAGAUGUGUUUGUGUAUUCUCAAUCAAUAUUUCAUUAGCCCACUCUAAAAGCCUAGUGGAAUGUCUGUGGAAAAUGCUGGACUCUACUUGCAUAUAUUCAAUACUGAAAUAAAAACUAAAGCUUUUAUGACAGCUUGUUUGCUCUCAAGAAUUGCUGUAUAUCAAAACCGUUACAAGCCCGGUUUUUGUUGUGAGAACCUGUUCUGCAUUCAUAAGUUACAUUUAUGAUAUAAAUGAAACCCUGGCUGAGAUUCUUUGAAGCAGGGUCAGGAUUAGCAUACAUCACCCCGCCAUGCCAGCCAACGCAGAAGCAGAAGACGAAGAAGCUCCCAACAAAUAACCCCCUUUCCGCCGC